CGGGAGCCUUGCUCCUACACCAGAUCCGACUCAAACCCUAGCGAAAGCCUUCCCUGCUCUCCCGCCGCUCGAUCGGAAGAAGCCAGGCGUCGGGAGUUGGAAGGUACGAGGAUGAAUCCGUUCGACGCUCGCUACGCCGAUCUCAAUUCCUAUCGGGAGAGACGGAGCAAUUUUGCGCGGCCGAUGAUGCCUCCUGGAUCGGUUCCGCUGGGCGGUGGUAUGGGAUCUGGCCCCAUCUUACCCCCAUCGGGGUCUAGCUUUGCAGUUACCGGAGGCGGAAGUAUCUUCCCUGCUCCUCCCAUCACCGCUCAUUUUCAAUCCGGGGGCGGUAACGGAAGGCCUGCUGACAUUGAACGCUUUCGGGAUGAGAGGUUUGAAUUUGGGGGAGGAGGAGGCGGUGGACGUCGUGGUGGGACAGGGCGUGGUGGUGAUCGUGGCGGUUGGGCUGGGAGUGGUGCGAGGGGUUUUGACUCGGGGAGAGGUGGUGGUGUGACUGGGAGCGGUUUUGACUCGGGGAGAGGUGGUGGCGUGACUGGGAGCGGUUUUCACUCGGGGAGAGGUGGUAGCGUAAACGGGAGAGGCCAUGGUUUUGGCAGUGGUGGGAAGGGAAGGGGACUUGAUGGUGGCCGCGGCAGUGCUGGAGGAAGGGGAAGCUUUGGAGGAGGUCGUGGGGGUAGUAGAGAUGGUUUUGGUAGUAGGAACUUCACCAAGUCAACAAAUGAUUUUGAUAGAGUUUCCCUCCCGAUACAGAAUUUCCACAACAUCAUCCCAUUUGAGAAGAACUUAUAUUUGGAGGGCCCUUCGGUGCAGGCAAUGUCAGAGCAGGAGGCUAUCUUCUACCGAAGAAGCCGCCAGAUUACGACAGAAGGCCAUGAUAUUCCAAAGCCUAUCAGGUUCUUUCAUGAGGCGAACUUUCCUGUCAACAUUCUCCAAGCUAUAGAGAAAUGUGGCUUCAGUGAACCAACACCUAUUCAAGCCCAAGGGUGGCCUAUGGCUUUGAAGGGCAGGGACUUGAUUGGUAUUGCGGAAACUGGUUCGGGAAAGACACUAGCAUAUUUGCUUCCAGCACUGAUCCAUGUUAAUUCUCAACCUCGUUUAGCUUAUGGCGAUGGUCCAAUUGUCUUGGUCCUUGCACCUACAAGAGAAUUAGCUGUUCAGAUACAAGAAGAGUCAGUGAAAUUUGGAUCACAUGUAAAUGUUAGAAGCACAUGCAUCUAUGGUGGGGCGCCUAAAGGACCACAGAUUCGUGAUCUCAAGAAAGGUGUUGAAAUUGUCAUUGCGACACCUGGUCGACUAAUUGAUAUGUUGGAAGCAUGCCAUACAAACCUUCAAAGAGUAACAUACCUCGUAUUGGAUGAAGCAGAUCGCAUGUUGGAUAUGGGGUUUGAACCUCAGAUAAGGAAAAUUAUCUCUCAAAUUCGGCCAGACCGGCAAACAUUAUAUUGGAGUGCCACAUGGCCAAGGGAAGUAGAGGCUUUAGCCCGACAAUUUUUACAAAACCCUUAUAAGAUAAUAAUAGGAUCUCCUGAUCUGAAAGCUAAUCAGUCAAUAAACCAAAUUGUUGAAGUCAUUUUGGAACAUGAGAAGUAUCCAAGGCUGAUUAAGCUUCUGAGUGAAUUAAUGGACGGGAGCAAGAUCCUGGUUUUUCUUGAGACGAAAAAAGGCUGUGACCGAGUCACUAGGCAGCUCCGGAUGGAUGGAUGGCCUGCACUAUCUAUUCAUGGUGAUAAAGAUCAAGCUGAAAGAGAUUGGGUUCUUGCAGAGUUUAAAAGUGGCAGAAGUCCUAUAAUGACUGCCACUGAUGUAGCUGCUCGUGGCCUUGGUAGGACCACUUUGUUAAGGCCCUCUUAGUUUGUCUCUCACUUAUGUCAAAGCUGAUCGGAAGUCGUUGGGCUGCUGACCAGUUUCUCAUAAAUUGAACUGAUAUUUUGGGUUGGUGUCUGAAGAGGUGCCUUCUGUCAAAGAUGUUAAGGAUAUAAAAUGUGUCAUCAAUUAUGACUUCCCAGUGAAUCUUGAGGACUAUGUUCAUAGGAUUGGACGCACUGGUAGAGCCGGUGCCAAAGGGAUGGCAUUUACCUUCUUCACUCAGGCAAGUGCAAGAUUUGCAAAGGAGCUUGUUAAAAUCCUACAGGAUGCUGGUCAGAUUGUCAGUCCAGCACUGGCCUCCUUGGCCCGGUCAAGCAGUGGUGUCACUGGAGGUUCUGGACGGAAUUUCCGGUCAAGAGGACGUGGUUUUGGAAAUCGCCCUCUCGUGUCUGGGUCUAAUUCCAUCCCAUUAAGUGGGCGAAGGGCUUGGUAAGGUCAAUGUUUUAGGAAGAUAGCAACAACUUAUGCAAAGUUUUGCUAUAUACUUUCAUAUGUCCAGUUACCAAAUUAAUUUAUGGUCCGUCAUGCUAGACACAGGAAACUAGAAACCUUUUUGAAUGCCUUUCCUGAUGCAAAACAAGCAGUUAAAUGUAAGUGUGCUUAUAUGAUGCCUAACUGACAUAAUCGCACUGGAACAUGUCUAUGAAAGAUACUUAUGAUAUUUGUCGAUUCAUGGUAAGAAUGCUAAAUUUACAAGAUUA
This is an RNA transcript of Zingiber officinale, 2567 nucleotides long. It is a transcript of the gene named DEAD-box ATP-dependent RNA helicase 20-like, with no coding region annotated. Lineage: Eukaryota; Viridiplantae; Streptophyta; Magnoliopsida; Zingiberales; Zingiberaceae. The transcript is spliced from 10 exons. The record is from RefSeq and is a predicted model, not a curated record.